AAAAGCAAGAGAAGGGAGAAGGAAGAAGGGAGAAAGGAGAAGAGCAAGGGAAGAGGAAGAAGAGAGAAUCAAGGGAAGCACGUACCCAUCUAAGGAGUAGAACCAAAAGGUGAUGAGACAACGCGGCGCAAGGCCAUCGGCUGUCCAUCAUCACCUAGGACUCGAGAUUUUUAUUCAGGUAACCAUCCAGAGUAUGUAGCUGAGAAGUUGGCUCUUUACGGAGGUGACCUCUGGGAUGAGAAGUUAGCUAUGCACGAGGAUGGUUGCGUAUGUGACGACUGUGCAUUCAGAGCAUGUUGAAGAUGAGAGUAUCAUCUUCCUUUUGACCAUUUUGUUUUACAUAUCAGAUGUAGCCCUAGAGGCAUAACCGUAAUUAUGACUU
Macadamia integrifolia is the source of this 382-nucleotide long non-coding RNA. RefSeq lists it as uncharacterized. NCBI's taxonomy places the organism in Eukaryota, Viridiplantae, Streptophyta, Magnoliopsida, Proteales, Proteaceae. The record is from RefSeq and is a predicted model, not a curated record. The transcript is spliced from 3 exons.